UCCUACGGGAGGCAGCAGUGGGGAAUUUUCCGCAAUGGGCGAAAGCCUGACGGAGCAAUACCGCGUGAGGGAAGACUGCCUAUGGGUUGUAAACCUCUUUUUUCAGGGAGGAAUAAAUGACGUGUACCUGAAGAAUAAGCAUCGGCUAACUCCGUGCCAGCAGCCGCGGUAAGACGGAGGAUGCAAGUGUUAUCCGGAAUCACUGGGCGUAAAGCGUCUGUAGGUGGUUGUUUAUGUCAACUGUUAAAUCUUGAGGCUCAACUUCAAAAUCGCAGUCGAAACUAUUCAACUAGAGUAUAGUAGGGGUAAAGGGAAUUUCCAGUGGAGCGGUGAAAUGCGUAGAUAUUGGAAAGAACACCGAUGGCGAAGGCACUUUACUGGGCUAUUACUGACACUCAGAGACGAAAGCUAGGGUAGCAAAUGGGAUUAGAUACCCCAGUAGUCCUAGCCGUAAACAAUGGAUACUAGAUGUUGGGCAGAUCGACCUGUUCAGUAUUAAAGCUAACGCGUUAAGUAUCCCGCCUGGGAAGUAUGCGCGCAAGCGUGAAACUCAAAGGAAUUGACGG
Molecule: ribosomal RNA, 566 nt
Filed under: uncultured bacterium
Lineage: Bacteria
Description: bacterial SSU rRNA
Rfam family: Bacterial small subunit ribosomal RNA
Source: RNAcentral